RNA transcript from Juglans regia (Persian walnut), 2097 nucleotides. RefSeq lists it as uncharacterized. The transcript has 4 exons. The record is from RefSeq and is a predicted model, not a curated record. Lineage: Eukaryota; Viridiplantae; Streptophyta; Magnoliopsida; Fagales; Juglandaceae.
GAAGUAUCAUUGGUUUGGCCAAAACCUUUCUCAUUUGGUUUGGCUCUGUUUGCAGAAUGAUCUCUCUGUUUCUUUCUCUAGCAUUUCUUCCUGACAACAAUCGGUACGUUCUCUGAUACUCAUAUGACUCUUAUGGGAUACUUCUAUGUUCCCUUAUUGUUUGGCUGCCGAGAAAACUGAAGAAACUAUAACCAAAUGAAAUUAAAGUUUUCUGAAAUUUUUAUCUUACGAUUUUUUUUUUUUUUUUUGCCUCACUUCGAAAUGAGGAAAAGCCCAUAUUAGCAAUGUCAAUUCAAUUUUUUGUGUUUCAGUAAGUUUGGCUUUUUGUUUCCUCGCAGAAUAACAGAAAAUUUGUUUCUACAAUACCUAACUAAUUUCUUUAGUUUUCUCUGCGGCCGAACGUAGGAUUUGGGUUUUUGGUGAAGGGAUUCCUUUGCAGUUUUUAAUAAAACUUUCGUUUAAUAAUUUCUACGUUGUUCAGGGUAUAACUCUGUUUUCCUUUUUAGAUUAUUGCUUUCGUGUGGAAGCGCAGGAAGCAGAAAUGGGAAUGAGAAACAUCACUUUUUGAGAUUGUUAUGCCCUUUCCAAUAUUUGAGAUUGGUUGGGAUAAUGCAAAAGUAGAUAAUAUUUUAGUUUUCGUUGUUGUUCGAAAUUUAUGCAAAUUAAAAACUGAUGGUUCUUUGUGUGAUUUUGGUGGUUGCAUGAUCAUAUGAUCCAUUGAAUUAUGAGCUUUCAGUGGAUUAUGGUAUUCAGUUAUCUCAAAAGGUUUUGUGGGUUUUCCUAUCCUGUUGUGAAAGUUUGAGUUUUUUAUAUUAGAGUGUCUAAUUUUGUGUAAACAUUUUGGUUUAUCGGUAUUGGACGGUUGGAGGGCGAGUUAAAGAGACUAUUCAUGUAAUGGAUCAUAGUUAUUCCGAGGAAAGUGAUUCAAUUGUUGAUUUGGAAAGUGGCGAGACCACAAGCGAAGAAGAUGGAAUUGAAGACUUGGAUGUGGGUGGUAAGCAUGCAAAGAAAAUGUUGAGUAGGCUGAGGAGUGGAUGUAUUAGUUUUGAUGGAUCAGUGGGGGAUAUUGAUGGAUUAGAUCCAACGAAGACUGUAUUACAGCCUGAUGAGAAUUUGGAGAUAUUGGAAGGUGAGGUGGAAGGAAAGGCAGCGGGUAUGGUGAAGAUGAAAAUGGCAAGUGAGAAAAGGAAAAAGGCGAGCUCUAAGAAGCCUCCCAAGCCACCCCGUCCUCCUACUGGUCCGUUAUUGGAUGCAGCAGAUAUGAAGUUGGUCAGAGAAAUUUCUGAGCUUGCAAGAUUGAGGCGUGCAAGGAUUGAACGAAGGAAGGAAGUGAAGAAAAUGAGAGCAGAUAAAGCAUCAUCUUCAAAUGGUAACCUUGUUGCAUUGAUCAUCACCAUGCUCUUCUUCUUUGUGAUAAUCUUCCAGGGUAUAUUGGGCUUUCGAAUGUGAUGCCUCAAGAUGUGGUCGUCUUCAGAUUUCACCAAGUAGAUUCCUGAGUUUGCUUUAGAAGUGUUCAAGUAUUAGUCUCCACAUAUCCAGAAUCCGCAAUGAUAGUAGUUGGUGGUGAGAUUCAAGUUGAAUAGUUUAACACCCUUCUGCUAGGGGGGGGACCAAUGGACCUGAUUCUUGGAUCCCCAAGAUCUGAUGAAACUCAGGAUCUUGAUUUGUCCAUGUGUGGCAAAGUUAUCAAUCUUUGGUUUCACGGAAUAUAGCCAGUUUGGUCACAGUUAAUGUUAUCAUUCCCAUGGGGCACAAAGCACAUAGAGCUGGAUUCACAAGGACUCUGGUGCAGGCUCGCGGCUUCAUUUUAUGGUGAAUAUGGCUGUUCAAAGUUCUAUUGUCCUGUGGCCAGACAUGGAGGAAAGAGGAACUUUUUCCCCCAUUGUCCCCUCUGAUAAGAGAAUGUAAUAUCAGCAGAAACUAUUAUGAUGACAUUUCUUUUACAUACAAAAAAUAUCAUCAAAAACUAUAUCAUGUAUAGAUGAUAUGAAUUUUGUUGUGAACUUCAAUUUAUUUUUCUUCCAUUGUCCACAAUGAUAAGAGAAUGUAAUAGCAUCAUUAUAUGAUUUAUGCAUAAAGCAUGUGGCAUGUGGCUUU